GAUGAACGCUGGCGGCGUGCCUAAUACAUGCAAGUCGAGCGAACGGACGAGAAGCUUGCUUCUCUGAUGUUAGCGGCGGACGGGUGAGUAACACGUGGAUAACCUACCUAUAAGACUGGGAUAACUUCGGGAAACCGUAGCUAAUACCGGAUAAUAUUUUGAACCGCAUGGUUCAAAAGUGAAAGACGGUCUUGCUGUCACUUAUAGAUGGAUCCGCGCUGCAUUAGCUAGUUGGUAAGGUAACGGCUUACCAAGGCAACGAUGCAUAGCCGACCUGAGAGGGUGAUCGGCCACACUGGAACUGAGACACGGUCCAGACUCCUACGGGAGGCAGCAGUAGGGAAUCUUCCGCAAUGGGCGAAAGCCUGACGGAGCAACGACGCGUGAGUGAUGAAGGUCUUCGGAUCGUAAAACUCUGUUAUUAGGGAAGAACAUAUGUGUAAGUAACUGUGCACAUCUUGACGGUACCUAAUCAGAAAACCACGGCUAACUACGU
This 496-nucleotide ribosomal RNA is filed under the name uncultured bacterium. Its description in RNAcentral is "partial 16S ribosomal RNA". It matches the Rfam family "Bacterial small subunit ribosomal RNA", at positions 28 to 506 of the family's 1533-position model. The record is from RNAcentral.